GAAAUGCGAUAAGUAGUGUGAAUUGCAGAUUUCAGUGAAUCAUCGAAUCUUUGAACGCACAUUGCGCCCUUUGGUAUUCCUUAGGGCAUGCCUGUUCGAGCGUCAUUUAAACCUUCAAGCUCAGCUUGGUGAUGGGUGACUGUCCGCUGCCUCCCCCCGGGGUGCGCCGCGGACUCGCCUCAAAUUUAUUGGCGGCCGGUACGUUGGCUUCGAGCGCAGCAGAAACGCGUAACUCGAGGUCUCCGUGGCGGCUCCCACAAGCAACCUUCAUUAUUUUGACCUCGGAUCAGGUAGGGAUACCCGCUGAACUUAA
RNAcentral lists this unclassified non-coding RNA (313 nucleotides) under fungal sp. RNAcentral's name for it is "partial contains 5.8S ribosomal RNA, internal transcribed spacer 2, and large subunit ribosomal RNA". The stretch from base 1 to 105 matches the Rfam family "5.8S ribosomal RNA", at positions 50 to 154 of the family's 154-position model. The record is from RNAcentral. Lineage: Eukaryota; Fungi. RNAcentral also lists the same sequence under 2 other names.